UGCUUGUUGGCUUUCACGGUUUAAGGCGUAGCAUUGGAAUUGCUAUGUAGGCUUUUGUUUACCGAGGGUUCGAAUCCCUCUCUUUCCG
Molecule: transfer RNA, 88 nt
Filed under: Ipomoea batatas (sweet potato)
Lineage: Eukaryota; Viridiplantae; Streptophyta; Magnoliopsida; Solanales; Convolvulaceae
Also listed under: 2 other names
Description: tRNA-Ser
Source: RNAcentral